Molecule: ribosomal RNA, 497 nt
Filed under: uncultured bacterium
Lineage: Bacteria
Description: partial 16S ribosomal RNA
Rfam family: Bacterial small subunit ribosomal RNA
Source: RNAcentral
GAUGAACGCUGGCGGCGUGCCUAAUACAUGCAAGUCGAGCGAACAGACGAGGAGCUUGCUCCUCUGACGUUAGCGGCGGACGGGUGAGUAACACGUGGAUAACCUACCUAUAAGACUGGGAUAACUUCGGGAAACCGGAGCUGAUACCGGAUAAUAUAUUGAACCGCAUGGUUCAAUAGUGAAAGACGGUUUUGCUGUCACUUAUAGAUGGAUCCGCGCCGCAUUAGCUAGUUGGUAAGGUAACGGCUUACCAAGGCGACGAUGCGUAGCCGACCUGAGAGGGUGAUCGGCCACACUGGAACUGAGACACGGUCCAGACUCCUACGGGAGGCAGCAGUAGGGAAUCUUCCGCAAUGGGCGAAAGCCUGACGGAGCAACGCCGCGUGAGUGAUGAAGGUCUUCGGAUCGUAAAACUCUGUUAUUAGGGAAGAACAAAUGUGUAAGUAACUAUGCACGUCUUGACGGUACCUAAUCAGAAAGCCACGGCUAACUACGUG